Molecule: long non-coding RNA, 1623 nt
Organism: Acipenser ruthenus (sterlet)
Lineage: Eukaryota; Metazoa; Chordata; Actinopteri; Acipenseriformes; Acipenseridae
Exons: 3
Source: RefSeq, a predicted model, not a curated record
GAAGCUGCAAGGAUUUUGAAGAGAGAGUCAGAAAGCACAGCCACUGCUGGCUCAGGAUCACAGACUGGUACUGGGAUGUGUUCACGCAGUUCUUUUAGCGGUUUGUUUAACAACAUGCAAACCUCACUAGCUGAAGUACAACAAGGAACCCCUACAGUUGAUUCAGGCAGGAUUCCCUGCACUGUAGCUAGAAAUGACCACAUUCAAAGAAAUCUUGUGCAGCUGUUUCAGCCAUGUGAUCAGGCAAGGGGGCAAAAGAUGUUCCAGAACACUGGAAAGUGUAAACGGAAAACUACACACAGUGAAACCUGGACACAUGAUUUAUUUUGCUUAGCAGAGACCAACGUUCAAACUGUGCCCAAUGGAGAAGACCGCAUUGGUUUACAGAAUUCAGGCCUUGGUAGGAAAAAAAUAACAUUUGCAGACGAAAAUGGAGGAUUUUCUUAACUAUGUGAAACUCUGUUUCUGAGAGAACUGAGAGUGGCCUGAACCAGGCAAUGGCCUAUAUUCGACCACUUCAGAAAAACCUGGAGAGCAUUGCGAAGCGUAAGAACAGUUGUCAAAAUCUAAUGUCCUCUAUAUUCCUUCUUCUUCGCCUCCCUUCUAUCACCCUUUCCCCUUCCUCCUCUGCCCAAACCUUGGUGUCACCUUUGAUUCCUCCCUUUCCAACUCUCAACAUAUUUCUUCACUGGCACGCUCUUACCGUCUCUUUUUGAGCAAUAUCUAUUGCAUUAAACCUGCUGGACUAUGGCUCUCGACGAUCAGGACUGGAGAUCUGGGUUAAGGUUUAAAUGCACAUGUAACACAUACUAUAAAAAUGAAGCAUGUUAAAAAUAAAUGUGUGUUUGUUUGUUGUAGUGUCAAGAGGUGGUCAUGGAGAAGUGCAAAAGGUGUGAAAAAUAUCCCUCUGAAAUGCCUUUCAGAACACAUUGAAAACUGUGGAAGGUCAUCUAUUUUUCUGGUGUAUUUGUAAUUUAAAUUGCUCAUUUAUUUUUACAACAUAGUGGUUGACUUGUAUCUGUGGUAAAUAUGUUUUGACAUUCAACGCAUGUAUGUCUUUGUUAACUGUUUUCAGACAGCCUGAUGACACUGAUUUGGAAGAUGAUGUCGUUAUGGAGAUAUGUUUUCAAUGUGGAGUACUCUGUGAAAGAUAUCCUACAAUCCCUGAGAGUUGGAAUCAAUGAAGUCAUUCGCUUCAACUUAAACAGAAGAAAUGUGUGGGAUGGUGCUGUAGAGGCCAAACUUUUCAACCAACAAAAGAGUUGAUGUGAAAUUCACAGAUGAUGCUGGUGUUUCGGAAGGAGCAGUGGAUUUGGGAGGGCCAAUGAGGGAGUUUGUCAGACUAGUGCUGCAAUAUAUAAGAAACAGCCCUAUGUUUGAUGGCCCAGAAAAUCAACGUACUCUCUCAUGCCAUGCAGAGUGGUUGCCAUGGAAACUGUGGACCCACAAUCCUCCUGGUGCAUCGCUCACGUUACCGAUGGCGGAUAGAGCUGAAUGAAGGCAAGUUCGAGUUUGUUUUUUCCGAGUUUUCUUUUUAUAUUCGUUUGUUAUUGUAUAAAAAUUAAUACUCGAUCACAUGUGCUCAUAACAUAGACGAUGCAUGAUACAAUUUAGCUAUAUAUA